GAUGAACGCUGGCGGCGUGCCUAAUACAUGCAAGUCGAGCGAACAGACGAGGCGCUUGCUCCUCUGACGUUAGCGGCGGACGGGUGAGUAACACGUGGAUAACCUACCUAUAAGACUGGGAUAACUUCGGGAAACCGGAGCUAAUACCGGAUAAUAUAUUGAACCGCAUGGUUCAAUAGUUAACGACGGUUUUGCUGUCACUUAUAGAUGGAUCCGCUCCGCAUUAGCUAGUUGGUAAGGUAACGGCUUACCAAGGCAACGAUGCGUAGCCGACCCGAGAGGGUGAUCGGCCACACUGGACCUGAGACACGGUCCAGACUCCUACGGAAGGCAGCAGUAGGGAUUCUUCCGCAAUGGCCGAAAGCCUGACGAAGCAACGCGGCGUGAGUGAUGAAGGUCUUCGGAUCGUAAAACUCUGUUAUUGGGAAAGAACAAAUGUGUAAGUAACUAUGCACGUCUUGACGGUACCUAAUCAGAAGGCCACGGCUAACUACGU
RNAcentral lists this ribosomal RNA (496 nucleotides) under uncultured bacterium. RNAcentral's name for it is "partial 16S ribosomal RNA". It matches the Rfam family "Bacterial small subunit ribosomal RNA", at positions 28 to 506 of the family's 1533-position model. The record is from RNAcentral.